AAUAUUGGUCAAGGGGGGCAGCCCUGAUCCAGCCAGGCCGCGUGUGUGAAGAAGGUCUUCGGUAUGUAAAGCACUUUAAGUUGGGAGGAAGGGCUUUAGGUUAAUACGCGGAAGUAUUGACUAUACCGACAGAAUAAGCACCGGCUAACACUCUGACAUCAGCUCAGGUAAUACAGAGGGUGCAAGCGUUAAUCGGAAUUACUGGGCGUAAAGCGCGCGUAGGUGGUUCAGUAAGAUGGGUGUGAAAUCCCCGGGCUUAACCUGGGAACUGCUUUCAUAACUGCUGAGCUAGAGUACGGUAGAGGGUAGUGGAAUUUCCUGUGUAGCGGUGAAAUGCGUAGAUAUAGGAAGGAACACCAGUGGCGAAGGCGACUACCUGGACUGAUACUGACACUGAGGUGCGAAAGCGUGGGGAGCAAACA
RNAcentral lists this ribosomal RNA (422 nucleotides) under uncultured bacterium. Its description in RNAcentral is "partial 16S ribosomal RNA". It matches the Rfam family "Bacterial small subunit ribosomal RNA", at positions 360 to 774 of the family's 1533-position model. The record is from RNAcentral.